This 433-nucleotide ribosomal RNA is filed under the name uncultured bacterium. RNAcentral's name for it is "partial 16S ribosomal RNA". It matches the Rfam family "Bacterial small subunit ribosomal RNA", at positions 29 to 507 of the family's 1533-position model. The record is from RNAcentral.
AACGAACGCUGGCGGCAUGCCUAACACAUGCAAGUCGAACGAGACCUUCGGGUCUAGUGGCGCACGGGUGCGUAACGCGUGGGAACCUGCCCUUAGGUUCGGAAUAACUCCCCGACAGGGGUGCUAAUACCGGAUAAUGUCUUCGGACCAAAGAUUUAUCGCCUUUGGAUGGGCCCGCGUUGGAUUAGCUAGUUGGUAGGGUAAAAGCCUACCAAGGCGACGAUCCAUAGCUGGUCUGAGAGGAUGAUCAGCCACACUGGGACUGAGACACGGCCCAGACUCCUACGGGAGGCAGCAGUGGGGAAUAUUGGACAAUGGGCGAAAGCCUGAUCCAGCAAUGCCGCGUGGGUGAUGAAGGCCUUAGGGUUGUAAAGCUCUUUUACCCGGGAUGAUAAUGACAGUACCGGGAGAAUAAGCUCCGGCUAACUCCGUG